CCUACGGGAGGCAGCAGGGAGGAAUAUUGGGCAAUGGACGGAAGUCGGAACCAGCCAGGCCGCGGGCAGGAAGACGGCUCUAUGAGGGGUAAACUGCUUUUGUACAAGGGUAAACCUGAAUACGUGUAUUCAGCUGAAAGUACUGUACGAAUAAGGAUCGGCUAACUCCGUGCCAGCAGCAGCGGUAAUACGGAGGAUCCAAGCGUUAUCCGGAUUUAUUGGGUUUAAAGGGUGCGUAGGCGGUUUGAUAAGUUAGAGGUGAAAUUUCCGAGCUUAACUCGGGAACUGCCUCUCAUACUGUUGAUCUAGAGCGUAGGUGCGGUCGGCGGAAUGUCUGGUGUAGCGGUGAAAUGCUU
Molecule: ribosomal RNA, 356 nt
Filed under: uncultured bacterium
Lineage: Bacteria
Description: partial 16S ribosomal RNA
Rfam family: Bacterial small subunit ribosomal RNA
Source: RNAcentral